This 254-nucleotide ribosomal RNA is filed under the name Cebrenis danieli. RNAcentral's name for it is "partial small subunit ribosomal RNA". Lineage: Eukaryota; Metazoa; Arthropoda; Insecta; Hemiptera; Coreidae. The record is from RNAcentral.
AGGUUAAUUUAUUUGAUUAAGAUUGAUUCUGUCUUUUUGAAUUGGCUUUUAGAUAAUAUUAAAUAUAAGUUUUUGCGUGUUAUUUAUUUAUCUAAAGGAUAAAUUUGUUUAUUUGUAGUUUUUUAUUUUGAGUAUUAUAUGAUUAUAGACUCAGUUAAUUUAUUUUAGAAUUGUUUAAGGUUGUGCCAGCAUACGCGGUUACACAUCCAAUUCAGGUUAAUUUUUUUGGUUUUUAUUUAUUUUUAAUUUUGAAA